UACGUAGGGUGCAAGCGUUAAUCGGAAUUACUGGGCGUAAAGCGUGCGCAGGCGGUGAUGUAAGACAGAUGUGAAAUCCCCGGGCUCAACCUGGGAACUGCAUUUGUGACUGCAUCGCUGGAGUGCGGCAGAGGGGGAUGGAAUUCCGCGUGUAGCAGUGAAAUGCGUAGAGAUCCGGAGGAACACCUGUGGCGAAGGCGGCCCCCUGGGCCGCACCUGACGCUGAGACGCGAAAGCGCGGGGAGCGAACGGG
RNAcentral lists this ribosomal RNA (253 nucleotides) under uncultured bacterium. RNAcentral describes it as "partial 16S ribosomal RNA". It matches the Rfam family "Bacterial small subunit ribosomal RNA", at positions 524 to 776 of the family's 1533-position model. The record is from RNAcentral.